RNAcentral lists this ribosomal RNA (248 nucleotides) under uncultured bacterium. Its description in RNAcentral is "partial 16S ribosomal RNA". It matches the Rfam family "Bacterial small subunit ribosomal RNA", at positions 108 to 353 of the family's 1533-position model. The record is from RNAcentral.
GAGUAACGCGUGAGUAACCUGCCUUCAANAGGGGGAUAACAUUCUGAAAAGAAUGCUAAUACCGCAUGAUAUAUCGGAACCACAUGGUUCUGAUAUCAAAGAUUUUAUCGCUUGAAGAUGGACUCGCGUCCGAUUAGUUAGUUGGUGAGGUAACGGCUCACCAAGACCGCGAUCGGUAGCCGGACUGAGAGGUUGAACGGCCACAUUGGGACUGAGACACGGCCCAGACUCCUACGGGAGGCAGCAUG